AUACAAGCAUGGAAGGGAAUACAGUAGUGCUUAGCAAUUUGUUUUCAGAGAGCUGAUGGCCGGUGUGAAUCAGUACAAAUGUAAGCAUGAAUUACACUCCUGGAGUUUCUUUUUCGUAGUAAAGGCAGCAGUCUUUAUGAAGGGGAAGACGGCCAACAAAGUCGUUAUUAAAAUGAAGUGGUGAGCGUAUGCUCGCAACUAGGGUGGUACCGCGAAGUCUAUUCGUCCCUACU
RNAcentral lists this non-coding RNA (233 nucleotides) under Neobacillus vireti. Its description in RNAcentral is "Bacillus vireti T-box sequence". It matches the Rfam family "T-box leader". From Rfam's summary of the family: Uncharged tRNA acts as the effector for transcription antitermination of genes in the T-box leader family. T-boxes are found upstream of many aminoacyl-tRNA synthetase genes and some amino acid biosynthetic genes usually in Gram-positive bacteria. The record is from RNAcentral. Lineage: Bacteria; Bacillati; Bacillota; Bacilli; Caryophanales; Bacillaceae.